GUGCCAGCCGCCGCGGUAAUACGAAGGGGGCUAGCGUUGCUCGGAAUUACUGGGCGUAAAGGGCGCGUAGGCGGCCGAUCAAGUCAGGCGUGAAAUUCCCGGGCUCAACCUGGGGGCUGCGCUUGAGACUGGUUGGCUAGAGGCCGAGAGAGGGUGGUGGAAUUCCCAGUGUAGAGGUGAAAUUCGUAGAUAUUGGGAAGAACACCGGUGGCGAAGGCGGCCACCUGGCUCGGUACUGACGCUGAGGCGCGACAGCGUGGGGAGCAAACAGGAUUAGAAACCCUGGUAGUCC
RNAcentral lists this ribosomal RNA (292 nucleotides) under uncultured bacterium. RNAcentral's name for it is "partial 16S ribosomal RNA". It matches the Rfam family "Bacterial small subunit ribosomal RNA", at positions 505 to 796 of the family's 1533-position model. The record is from RNAcentral.